RNAcentral lists this ribosomal RNA (578 nucleotides) under Cystofilobasidium macerans. RNAcentral's name for it is "eukaryotic LSU rRNA". It matches the Rfam family "Eukaryotic large subunit ribosomal RNA", at positions 90 to 659 of the family's 3401-position model. The record is from RNAcentral. Lineage: Eukaryota; Fungi; Basidiomycota; Tremellomycetes; Cystofilobasidiales; Cystofilobasidiaceae.
CGAGUGAGCGGGAAGAGCUCAAAUUUAAAAUCUGGCAGGCUACGCUUGUCCGAAUUGUAAUCUCGAGAAGUGUUUUCCGCGUUGGCCUGUGUACAAGUCCCUUGGAACAGGGCGUCAUAGAGGGUGAGAAUCCCGUCCUUGACACAGACACCCAAUGCUUUGUGAUACACUCUCAAUGAGUCGAGUUGUUUGGGAAUGCAGCUCAAAAUGGGUGGUAAAUUCCAUCUAAAGCUAAAUACUGGCGAGAGACCGAUAGCGAACAAGUACCGUGAGGGAAAGAUGAAAAGCACUUUGGAAAGAGAGUCAAACAGUACGUGAAAUUGUUGAAAGGGAAACGAUUGAAGUCAGUCGUGCCUGCCUAGUCUCAGCCUUUUGGUGUACUACUAGGUCGGCAGGUCAGCAUCAGUUUGGGAGGAUUAACAAGGGAGUUAGGAAUGUGGCAACCUCGGUUGUGUUAUAGCCUAGCUUCGCAUUGAUCUUGCUGGACUGAGGAACGCAGUGCGCCCGCAAGGGUUGGUCUUCGGACACAUUCGCACUUAGGAUGCUGGCAUAAUGGCUUUAAACGACCCGUCUUGAGC